Molecule: ribosomal RNA, 484 nt
Filed under: uncultured bacterium
Lineage: Bacteria
Description: partial 16S ribosomal RNA
Rfam family: Bacterial small subunit ribosomal RNA
Source: RNAcentral
AUUGAACGCUGGCGGCAGGCCUAACACAUGCAAGUCGAGCGGAUGAAGGGAGCUUGCUCCUGGAUUCAGCGGCGGACGGGUGAGUAAUGCCUAGGAAUCUGCCUGGUAGUGGGGGAUAACGUCCGGAAACGGGCGCUAAUACCGCAUACGUCCUGAGGGAGAAAGUGGGGGAUCUUCGGACCUCACGCUAUCAGAUGAGCCUAGGUCGGAUUAGCUAGUUGGUGGGGUAAAGGCCUACCAAGGCGACGAUCCGUAACUGGUCUGAGAGGAUGAUCAGUCACACGGGAACUGAGAUACGGUCACGACUCCUACGGGAGGCAGCAGUGGGGAAUAUUGGACAAUGGGCGAAAGCCUGAUCCAGCCAUGCCGCGUGUGUGAAGAAGGUCUUCGGAUUGUAAAGCACUUCAAGUUGGGAGGAAGGGCAGUAAGUUAAUACCUUGCUGUUUUGACGUUACCAACAGAAUAAGCACCGGCUAACUUCGUG